AGCGGCGGACGGGUGAGUAACGCGUAGGCAACCUGCCCUUUGCAGAGGGAUAGCCUCGGGAAACCGGGAUUAAAACCUCAUAAUGCGGCUGGAAGACAUCUUCCGGUCGCCAAAGAUUUAUCGGCAAAGGAUGGGCCUGCGUCUGAUUAGCUAGUUGGUGGGGUAACGGCCUACUAAGGCAACGAUCAGUAGCCGACCUGAGAGGGUGAUCGGCCACAUUGGAACUGAGACACGGUCCAAACUCCUACGGGAGGCAGCAGUGGGGAAUAUUGCACAAUGGGGGAAACCCUGAUGCAGCAACGCCGCGUGAACGAUGAAGGCCUUCGGGUCGUAAAGUUCUGUCCUUGGGGAAGAAACAAAUGACGGUACCCUUGGAGGAAGCCCCGGCUAACUACGUGCCAGCAGCCGCGGUAAUACGUAGGGCGCAAGCGUUAUCCGGAAUUAUUGGGCGUAAAGAGCUCGUAGGCGGUUUGUCGCGUCUGCUGUGAAAGCCCGGGGCUCAACCCCGGGUCUGCAGUGGGUACGGGCAGACUAGAGUGCAGUAGGGGAGACUGGAAUUCCUGGUGUAGCGGUGAAAUGCGCAGAUAUCAGGAGGAACACCGAUGGCGAAGGCAGGUCUCUGGGCUGUAACUGACGCUGAGGAGCGAAAGCAUGGGGAGCGAACAGGAUUAGAUACCCUGGUAGUCCAUGCCGUAAACGUUGGGCACUAGGUGUGGGGGACAUUCCACGUUUUCCGCGCCGUAGCUAACGCAUUAAGUGCCCCGCCUGGGGAGUACGGCCGCAAGGCUAAAACUCAAAGGAAUUGACGGGGGCCCGCACAAGCGGCGGAGCAUGCGGAUUAAUUCGAUGCAACGCGAAGAACCUUACCAAGGCUUGACAUGAACCGGAAAGGCCUGGAAACAGGUCCCCCACUUGUGGCCGGUUUACAGGUGGUGCAUGGUUGUCGUCAGCUCGUGUCGUGAGAUGUUGGGUUAAGUCCCGCAACGAGCGCAACCCUCGUUCUAUGUUGCCAGCGGGUUAUGCCGGGGACUCAUAGGAGACUACCGGGGUCAACUCGGAGGAAGGUGGGGACGACGUCAAAUCAUCAUGCCCCUUAUGUCUUGGGCUUCACGCAUGCUACAAUGGCCGGUACAAAGGGUUGCGAUACUGUGAGGUGGAGCUAAUCCCAAAAAGCCGGUCUCAGUUCGGAUUGAGGUCUGCAACUCGACCUCAUGAAGUUGGAGUCGCUAGUAAUCGCAGAUCAGCAACGCUGCGGCGAAUACGUUCCCGGCCCUUGCACUCACCGCCCGUCAAG
RNAcentral lists this ribosomal RNA (1294 nucleotides) under uncultured bacterium. RNAcentral's name for it is "bacterial SSU rRNA". It matches the Rfam family "Bacterial small subunit ribosomal RNA", at positions 94 to 1401 of the family's 1533-position model. The record is from RNAcentral.